Molecule: ribosomal RNA, 905 nt
Filed under: Saprinus cyaneus
Lineage: Eukaryota; Metazoa; Arthropoda; Insecta; Coleoptera; Histeridae
Description: SSU rRNA
Rfam family: Eukaryotic small subunit ribosomal RNA
Source: RNAcentral
UUACCCACUCCCGGCACGGGGAGGUAGUGACGAAAAAUAACGAUACGGGACUCAUCCGAGGCCCCGUAAUCGGAAUGAGUACACUUUAAAUCCUUUAACGAGGAUCAAUUGGAGGGCAAGUCUGGUGCCAGCAGCCGCGGUAAUUCCAGCUCCAAUAGCGUAUAUUAAAAUUGUUGCGGUUAAAAAGCUCGUAGUCGAAUUUGUGUCGUACGCCGCCGGUUCAUCGCUCGCGGUGUCAAUUGGCGUGUCGUACGACGUCCUGCCGGUGGAUUUAGCUUCGGCUUCGGUCGAAGCGGUCCAACUUUUAAAUCCCGCCGCGGUGCUCUUCACUGAGUGUCGAGGUGGGCCGGCACGUUUACUUUGAACAAAUUAAAGUGCUUAAAGCAGGCUAAAAUUUUGCCUGAAUAUUGUAUGCAUGGAAUAAUGAAAUAGGACCUCGGUUCCAUUUUGUUGGCUUUUGGGAACCCCGAGGUAAUGAUUAAUAGGAACGGAUGGGGGCAUUCGUAUUGCGACGUUAGAGGUGAAAUUCUUGGAUCGUCGCAAGACGAACUUAAGCGAAAGCAUUUGCCAAAAACGCUUUCAUUGAUCAAGAACGAAAGUUAGAGGUUCGAAGGCGAUCAGAUACCGCCCUAGUUCUAACCAUAAACGAUGCCAGCUAGCGAUCCGCCGACGUUCCUCCGAUGACUCGGCGGGCAGCUUCCGGGAAACCAAAGCUUUUGGGUUCCGGGGGAAGUAUGGUUGCAAAGCUGAAACUUAAAGGAAUUGACGGAAGGGCACCACCAGGAGUGGAGCCUGCGGCUUAAUUUGACUCAACACGGGAAAACUCACCAGGCCCGGACACCGGAAGGAUUGACAGAUUGAGAGCUCUUUCUUGAUUCGGUGGGUGGUGGUGCAUGGCCGUCUUA